AAACAAGAUGUAGUCAACAUUAGCACUACGUGGAUCGACGUCACGCCGAUGUUUUCAAUGUUGGCGUUGCAUGGUAACGCGUUCUCGAAAGCUCCUGAAGCCAUAUAUGGAAUUAGAUCAUCAGAAUACACACUUCGGCAGAACCUUGGAUAUGUGACUGCACGGUAUGAAUUUC
Molecule: long non-coding RNA, 175 nt
Organism: Priapulus caudatus
Lineage: Eukaryota; Metazoa; Priapulida; Priapulimorpha; Priapulimorphida; Priapulidae
Exons: 3
Source: RefSeq, a predicted model, not a curated record